This 168-nucleotide ribosomal RNA is filed under the name uncultured bacterium. Its description in RNAcentral is "partial 16S ribosomal RNA". It matches the Rfam family "Bacterial small subunit ribosomal RNA", at positions 1325 to 1500 of the family's 1533-position model. The record is from RNAcentral.
GCUGGAUUCGCUAGUAAUCGCGCAUCAGCCAUGGCGCGGUGAAUACGUUCCCGGGCCUUGUACACACCGCCCGUCAAGCCAUGGAAGCCGGGGGCGCUUGAAGUGCGUUGCCGCAAGGCGCGCCCUAGAGCGAAACCGGUGACUGGGGCUAAGUCGUAACAAGGUAUC